GGACUACAGGCGCCCGCCACCACGCCCGGCUAAUUUUUUGUAUUUUUAGUAGAGACGGGGUUUCACCAUAUUAGCCAGGAUGGCCUCGAUCUCCUGACCGCGUGAUCCGCCCGCCUCGGCCUCCCAAAGUGCUGAAAUUACAGGCGUGAGCCACCGCGCCCGGCCAGAUAAGUGAGUCAUAGGUAAAAUAUUCUUCACCAGGCGAGGAUUGAGUCGCAGUCGCGUCAGGAACUCGCCUCCAGGAAACUUUGAGGGAAAUUUUGAGUCACUGGACCUUGCGGAAUUUGCUAAGAAGCAGCCAUGGUGGCGUAAGCUGUUCGGGCAGGAAUCUGGACCUUCAGCAGAAAAGUAUAGCGUGGCAACCCAGCUGUUCAUUGGAGGUGUCACUGGAUGGUGCACGGGUUUCAUAUUCCAGAAGGUUGGAAAGUUGGCUGCAACAGCUGUGGGAGGUGGAUUUUUUCUCCUUCAGCUUGCAAACCAUACUGGGUACAUCAAAGUUGACUGGCAACGAGUGGAGAAGGACAUGAAGAAA
This 532-nucleotide small RNA is filed under the name Pan troglodytes (chimpanzee). RNAcentral's name for it is "processed transcript". The record is from RNAcentral. Lineage: Eukaryota; Metazoa; Chordata; Mammalia; Primates; Hominidae.